Molecule: ribosomal RNA, 517 nt
Filed under: uncultured bacterium
Lineage: Bacteria
Description: bacterial SSU rRNA
Rfam family: Bacterial small subunit ribosomal RNA
Source: RNAcentral
UGCCGCGUGAGUGAAGAAGGCCUUCGGGUUGUAAAGCUCUUUCGGCGGGGAAGAAAUGGCAACGGCUAAUAUCCGUUGUUGAUGACGGUACCCGCAUAAGAAGCACCGGCUAACUACGUGCCAGCAGCCGCGGUAAUACGUAGGGUGCGAGCGUUAAUCGGAAUUACUGGGCGUAAAGCGUGCGCAGGCGGUUUCGUAAGACAGACGUGAAAUCCCCGGGCUCAACCUGGGAACUGCGUUUGUGACUGCGAGGCUAGAGUACGGCAGAGGGGGGUAGAAUUCCACGUGUAGCAGUGAAAUGCGUAGAGAUGUGGAGGAAUACCGAUGGCGAAGGCAGCCCCCUGGGUUAGUACUGACGCUCAUGCACGAAAGCGUGGGGAGCAAACAGGAUUAGAUACCCUGGUAGUCCACGCCCUAAACGAUGUCAACUAGGUGUUGGAAGGGUUAAACCUUUUAGUACCGCAGCUAACGCGUGAAGUUGACCGCCUGGGGAGUACGGCCGCAAGGUUAAAACUCA